CAGGAAAGGGCCACGAAGGCUCGCCGGAGAGCUCAAGCAGUUCAGCCUCCGCCUUCCGUACACCGGCCUCGCUCACCUUGCUCCUCCAUCUUAUUUGAAUAGACGAGAGCAAAUCUGGGAGAGAGAGAGGGAAGAGAAAAAUAGAGAGUAAAUCUAGAAGGAGAGUAAAUCUUGGAAACCAUCUUGAAAAGAGAAGUAAAUUGUACAUCUUGUAGAGGGGAGAAACAGUUGGUGGC
RNAcentral lists this long non-coding RNA (236 nucleotides) under Brachypodium distachyon (stiff brome). RNAcentral describes it as "long non-coding RNA (BDIS_LNC001109)". The record is from RNAcentral. Lineage: Eukaryota; Viridiplantae; Streptophyta; Magnoliopsida; Poales; Poaceae.